CUAGUUUUAAUAACUAACACCAACUUCUUUUAUUAAACAAAAACCAAUACAAAAUUAAAAACUAACUUCAUCAAAAACCAA
Molecule: unclassified non-coding RNA, 81 nt
Filed under: Trichomonas vaginalis
Lineage: Eukaryota; Parabasalia; Trichomonadida; Trichomonadidae
Description: internal transcribed sequence 1
Source: RNAcentral